GACGAACGCUGGCGGCGUGCUUAACACAUGCAAGUCGAACGGAAAGGCCCUGCUUUUGUGGGGUGCUCGAGUGGCGAACGGGUGAGUAACACGUGAGUAACCUGCCCUUGACUUUGGGAUAACUUCAGGAAACUGGGGCUAAUACCGGAUAGGAGCUCCUGCUGCAUGGUGGGGGUUGGAAAGUUUCGGCGGUUGGGGAUGGACUCGCGGCUUAUCAUCUUGUUGGUGGGGUAGUGGUUUACCAAGGCUUUGACGGGUAGCCGGCCUGAGAGGGUGACCGGCCACAUUGGGACUGAGAUACGGCCCAGACUCCUACGGGAGGCAGCAGUGGGGAAUAUUGCACAAUGGGCGGAAGCCUGAUGCAGCAACGCCGCGUGCGGGAUGACGGCCUUCGGGUUGUAAACCGCUUUCGCCUGUGACGAAGCGUGAGUGACGGUAAUGGGUAAAGAAGCACCGGCUAACUACGUG
Molecule: ribosomal RNA, 468 nt
Filed under: uncultured bacterium
Lineage: Bacteria
Description: partial 16S ribosomal RNA
Rfam family: Bacterial small subunit ribosomal RNA
Source: RNAcentral